CUCAUUAAAUCAGUUAUCGUUUAUUUGAUAGUACCUUACUACUUGGAUAACCGUGGUAAUUCUAGAGCUAAUACAUGCUAAAAACCCCGACUUCGGGAGGGGUGUAUUUAUUAGAUAAAAAACCAAUGCCCUUCGGGGCUCCUUGGUGAUUCAUGAUAACUUAACGAAUCGCAUGGCCUUGCGCCGGCGAUGGUUCAUUCAAAUUUCUGCCCUAUCAACUUUCGAUGGUAGGAUAGUGGCCUACCAUGGUAUCAACGGGUAACGGGGAAUUAGGGUUCUAUUCCGGAGAGGGAGCCUGAGAAACGGCUACCACAUCCAAGGAAGGCAGCAGGCGCGCAAAUUACCCAAUCCCGACGCGGGGAGGUAGUGACAAUAAAUACUGAUACAGGGCUCUUUUGGGUCUUGUAAUUGGAAUGAGUACAAUUUAAAUACCUUAACGAGGAACAAUUGGAGGGCAAGUCUGGUGCCAGCAGCCGCGGUAAUUCCAGCUCCAAUAGCGUAUAUUAAAGUUGUUGCAGUUAAAAAGCUCGUAGUUGAACCUUGGGCCUGGCUGGCCGGUCCGCCUCACCGCGUGUACUGGUCCGGCCGGGCCUUUCCUUCUGGGGAUCCGCAUGCCCUUCACUGGGCGUGCCGGGGAACCAGGACUUUUACUUUGAAAAAAUUAGAGUGUUCAAAGCAGGCCUUUGCUCGGAUACAUUAGCAUGGAAUAAUAGAAUAGGACGUGCGGUCCUAUUUUGUUGGUUUCUAGGACCGCCGUAAUGAUUAAUAGGGAUAGUCGGGGGCAUCAGUAUUCAAUUGUCAGAGGUGAAAUUCUUGGAUUUAUUGAAGACUAACUACUGCGAAAGCAUUUGCCAAGGAUGUUUUCAUUAAUCAGUGAACGAAAGUUAGGGGAUCGAAGACGAUCAGAUACCGUCGUAGUCUUAACCGUAAACUAUGCCGACUAGGGAUCGGGCGAUGUUAUUCUUUUGACUCGCUCGGCACCUUACGAGAAAUCAAAGUCUUUGGGUCUGGGGAGAGUGG
This 1020-nucleotide ribosomal RNA is filed under the name Neoscytalidium dimidiatum. RNAcentral describes it as "SSU rRNA". It matches the Rfam family "Eukaryotic small subunit ribosomal RNA", at positions 97 to 1126 of the family's 1831-position model. The record is from RNAcentral. Lineage: Eukaryota; Fungi; Ascomycota; Dothideomycetes; Botryosphaeriales; Botryosphaeriaceae.